AAAGCAGCAGAGGUGUUGGGUGUUUUUAGCAUUCUCACUCUCACAGCAUUGCUCAGAGUCCAGGCUGAUGAUAAUCUGGGCUGAGAAGCAGAAAGACUCAGUCCCCAGCUGUCCACGGCCCCUCUCAGUACUGUAUGGAAUAGGUAUGCCUCUCAGUGUUUUCCAAUGAUAGCUGUAGCCCUGUCCUGGCCAACUGGUCAGCUGAGCUACCCUUUGCACAGAUGUAUGUGGGAUAGUCUUGGAGCCUAUCCUGUGUACGUGGGAUAGUCUCGGAGCCUAUCCUAUACCACAAGCAGCUUUGGAAUAAACAUCCUCUUUGGUGUGGAAUGAGAGCUUAGUCAUCCAAGGAAAAAAUGCGAAAAGAGGGAGGAAAUGAUUACCUCUGCUUCUUAAAAUCUUUUUGAAUGAACAUGGGUGGAACUGGAAGCGAUUAUCCUCAGCAAACUCAUGCAGGAACAGAAAACCAAAUACCACACGUUCUCACUUAUAAGUGGAGGCUAAAUGAGGAGAACACACUGGGGGCAACACCAGACACUGGGGCCUAACAGAUGAUGGAAGGUGGGAGGAGGGAUAGGAUCAGGAAAAAUAAUUAAUAGCUACUAGGCUGAGUACCUGGGUGAUGAAAUAAUCUGUACAACAAACCCCCUAUCACACGAGUUUACCUAUACAACAAACCUGCACAUGCACCCCUGAACUUAAAAUAAAAGUUAAGAAAAAAAC
This 720-nucleotide long non-coding RNA is filed under the name Homo sapiens (human). Its description in RNAcentral is "HSALNT0296579". Lineage: Eukaryota; Metazoa; Chordata; Mammalia; Primates; Hominidae. The record is from RNAcentral.